CAGGUCCGCAGGUCAGAGCUGGGCUGCAUGACUGCUGACUGGUGGCAUGUCCGUGGCAACUAAUUUAAGCAACGCCGUUAUAAUUACAGUGUGUGCAGUGAGGGGCAGUAAAAGUGCUGGAAAAUGAUGCGCACGUGACAUCCGGCAAGGCAUCGCGACGGUCAGGUGGAUUACUAGCCAAGGUUUGGGCUGGCCAAGCCAAAAGGCACAAAGUGAAAAAAAUCUGCCAGCCAGCCAGCUAACUGACAACAACCGGAUCAGCAGAGGACCAACAGAGGGAGCAGCUAGCACAAAGGCCAGCAACGAGACACACAAGCCAAAAGCAAACAAAAGCCAAAAAAUUAUGCGCUAGUCGCAAGACGCAGGCGGCUCAUUUUCCAUUUGUUAGCCAGCUCACAGGAGCUAACAGGCAGUUGACUACUCUGCCAUGGAACAUAAUGUACAGCCAGGCCAUGUAAUUUUAUACAAGCGUUUGAGGGGGCUGACUAUCUACUAUGUCUAGAGGAAGAAGUCUUCAAAGGAAACCCCUUUGAAAUCAGGUUCAUGCAAUUAGGUUAUGAAGUUAGGGUAUACAAACUUCGGUACAAUAUUGUGAUUUUCUAAAGGAAGCAUGGGAUUGAAAUGGGAAGUGGGAAGCCUGGGCAGGCGCUCAAGAAAAUUAGUCGCGCUUUUGCGCGCUCGUCGGAAAAUAAUAAAAACUGAAGUGUAAAUUUA
Molecule: long non-coding RNA, 714 nt
Organism: Drosophila montana
Lineage: Eukaryota; Metazoa; Arthropoda; Insecta; Diptera; Drosophilidae
Exons: 2
Source: RefSeq, a predicted model, not a curated record